This 1356-nucleotide long non-coding RNA is filed under the name Canis lupus familiaris (dog). Its description in RNAcentral is "lncRNA (ENSCAFG00845011016.1)". The record is from RNAcentral. Lineage: Eukaryota; Metazoa; Chordata; Mammalia; Carnivora; Canidae.
AACACUAAGGACCUUUGAUUUAAUUUUUUCAUAACCUUGAAAUGAACUGAAGGUGGAGGGAGGAGUACGUUUUAAGGUGCCAGGAUUACAUCAGAAUUGCAUUCUUGGGUCAUUGCUCCUGGACAUGCCCUUUCUGUUUCAGACCUGACCUUGGGACCCAGAGCUUUGCAGUUACUCACAGAACUGCACCAGAUGUUAUGGGCAGGUCAGGGGAUACUUACACGUAGUUUAAGCCCCCAUCGAUGUCCCAGACAUAGCAAUGGCUUAUAGCAUCUUUCCUUCCGGGAUUCAGUGCCCUGCUACUAGAUAGAGAUGGCAAAAAGGUGGGGAGUGCUCCAGAACAUUCUAAGCCUGGUAAGUAUUUCUAGUUGAAAUUCUUCAAUCUCACUACAACCCUGACAAGAAACCACGACUUUAAUCUCCCGGCAUGAUUAGUUUUGAUCUUAAGCCGCACAAUAGAGUGAAUGCCCCCAAAUACUCAGAACAAAUCUUAUUAAUGUCAAAACUACAUUACGUACCCUGUAGGAGAUCAGAAAUCAUUCUUUACAUCAAAAGAACAGGAAAGCUUCUGGGAUGCACAGAGAACGUCCCUUUACACCCUUUCCUACAUCCUAAAACAAGCAUUUUAAAAAAAAUAUAUUAAGAGCAAACCGGAAGUUAGCAUUCUGUGCCUACUGAACGUUCUGGUCACAUUCGCACACGUUAACUCAUUUAAGUCCUGCCAACAAAGUAGUCCUGCCACUGUUAACAGUUUCCAUUCGUUGGCAGUGCAGUCGGAGAGAUCUGGAAUUUGCUCAAGGUGACACACUGCAGCAAGCAGGAGUCAGGAUUUGAAUCUGAAGCAGUGUCCUCCCCCACCCCCGCCCCGGCCCAGCCACCACGCAGAAAACACAGGUCUACUACGGGGAAAUUAAUGAUCCGCGGCCUUUCAGAGGUUCUGCGCCAUCAACGGGGAGACAACCUGGUCCUCGUGACUCCUCGGUCUCUCUGUUCUCACCCAAGUGCAUGACUGCGGGAGCAAAGCGACCACGUGAGCCUUCUCCCUACCCCCGCGAGGGCCAGUGCCUGUCUGGCCAAGGGCAAGUCACAGGUGCGCCAACGUGCCAGGACUGGAUCCGGAGCCCGAGGGCUCGAGCUCCCCGGCAGCGUCACUGGACGGACGGGCGGGGACCUCGCCCAGGUGCGGCCUCCGGACGCGGCAGGUCACCAGUGCGCUCAAAGGGAAGCUGGAGACGAAGCGAUCAGCACCGUGAAAUGGGGCCCGCCGGGCCGGGGUGGGGGGGGGCGGUGCGAACGACCUUGGUCGCGGCCUCCAUAACCCCACUGGACGGCCUCCCGCGCUAGCGCCGGGGCCCC